GUUUGGGGAAUAAUAGAGAUUUCUCCAAUCAUUUUUUUUUUCUGAAGAUAUUCUGAAGUUUCUUUUUCUCUUUAUUUUCAUUUUCAAAUUUUCAGCCUGGCUGUUUCCUAUAUCUGCAAAGUAGCAUUGGAAAGACCCAAUAGCUACUAAGGGCCUGUGAAACCAAACUCACAGCCCUGAGUCUUAAAAUCCUCAGGACAGCAUUCAGCAAUGCAAAGCAUGAGACUAUUACUUCUUAUAUUUGCACAUCAUCAUCACCUAAUUGAAACUGUAGCUGAAGGAGGGGGAGGGAAAACCACAGAGCUGACUUCAUGUGGUUACCAGAGAACAUUUUUAAUUGCCUUUAUGUGGAUAAUACUAUUUUUUCAUUAAUGCUUCCAGGACAGAUUAAGGGGACGGCUCGACACUGUACGCGCCAUUCACACAGCGUGGCAUGUUGGUGGCAUGAACAGACGUUUGGGCACCAAUGCAAUCCAUAUCACUCCAACUGUCCUGAGAUAUAACAAAAAAAAAAAAAAAAUCUGAGCAAGAUACCAAAAAUUUGAAAGAACAUGGCCUGUGAGUUUUUCUACUGCUUCUCCUGGGGGAUUUUGUACCAGGUAAAUAAUAAAAAAUGUGUAAUGAUUGACUAGGCUUUUAAGCCUCAGCUGAAGGUAAGUUUGCCUUGCUGUUCCAGUUAAAUAUUCUCACUAGCCCCCUUCUCUUUCUCCAGUUGAUCAUGCCACAAAGCCCCCUUCAGCCUGAUUCAUUCUUUAUUCUUUAGAAAUUUGGGCAACAGUCAAAUCUGACCUUUAGAGUCAUAAACAAAUUAAAUUGUUUCACAACCAAAUAAUACAAAACAAUAUUGAAUAGCUAGACUUCCGCUGAGUUUCCUCUUAAAGAGAAAGAAGCCCCGAAACAGCACAGACAUGGGAGAUAGAGGAAGAUAGGUGGAGGACAAGGCGUGCUGAUACUCUGCAUGGCAACGAGAUGGUGAAGCACCGGGGUCUGGCUCCAGACUGACAGGUAUCGGCACUUUGGAAGAUGCUGUGAGAAGUGUUUAUUAAUUAUUUACCUUUCUGGGAGCGGAGUGCUCCCCAAAAGGCAUACCCCACUGCAAGCCUGUUGCUGCAGAGUCACCGGUGCCAGCAGCACCCUGCGCUCUGGCGACGGUUCAAGGUGAAACCCAAAGGUGGCCGAAGUGGCCUUGGUGCCGCCGGGUUGGAAACCGUUUCUCCUCUCCCCUCUGUUUGCCUGAACUUUGGCUGCGUGCGGCCCGGCCUCCCUGCACCCGCUGCUGCCACACGCGGUCCCGCUGACACGGGCGAGGGGCAGGGCGGUGUCACCCGCCGAGGGCUCUGCGGGGACAUCCUUGGGCGCAGGGCUGUUCCCUUCCCCUCGGCUUGGGUGCGUGCCUGGAGGCUGCCAGCCGGGGAGGUGGCGAGCCGUGAGCCCUCUUUGGCGAGAUGUGGUGGGGUUCAGCACAUUUGUGGAGUGUUGCUGGAAUGUGAAGCAUCUGGGGCAGAUGUGGAGACGUGAUAAGGCUCCUUGUUGUCCUUAAAAACACUAUGAAGUGGCCAGGUAGGGAUUCCCCUGGAAAAGGGGGAUUCCCUGCCUGGCACCCAGCUGGGUCCAGUUGCCAUCGACGCUCUGGGACCAUAGAAUGAAUCCCAGCCUCGGGCCCCUGGGGAGAUCCCCAGUGCCCCCCCCUCUGCUGUGGGUGGCAGGGUGACACCUGGGCACCUGCUCACCCCAUCCCCUUUGCAAGGGGACACCCCAGCUGGGGACAGGACACCCCUCCUCCCUCGCCUGCGCAGUCAGUGAUGCAGUUUUUGCAUAAAAGCACCAGACAGGGAAAGAAACAGAACAAUAAACCAGCCAGCUGCGCGGCCUAGCAGCUCUAUUGGGAACUUGCUCCUGCGCCGUGGCCAGCCCCUUGGCACGACGCCGGCCCAUCCGCAGGGCACCAGCACCGGGAGCCCCCAGGGACGGUGUGUUUCUGUGCCACGCCAGCACUGAGCCUGGGGAAAUUCACUGUCCUGGGCCCAGCUGCACGGGGCAGCUGCGGGCGGGAGAAGGGGUCGCGGGCUGGGCGCCAGGGACACGCGCCGCGCCGGUACGACCCGCGCUUAAACAGCGACGCUCUGACAACGGUGUGCCCGCUUACGCUUAAUAUAAAGAGACCCCAAACCGCCAUUAAUUCUUCCCGUACGUCAUGUCACAAGCAACGAUCAGUUUAUAUCAGACGUACAAACAGCACCCAGAGCUGCAGCUUUUCUCCCAGGCUGGACACUCGGCUACAGAUGUGCUGUGGACAACCGUCCAUGGCCCGAACUGCCGUUACUGUCACUGGUAUGCAAAGCCUUUAAUUAUCUAUGGAGCCCAACAGAUGUGAAGCACAUUUAGAUGCUUUAAUUAACUUGAAGAAUUAUGAAGUCGUGCCUGUAACUGAAAUACAGUUUUGCCUUUUGUAAACCAUUUGACAUAAGAAUGAUGAGGCUAAGAAUUAGAUAUAAGAAUACAUGUAAAUAUUUAUACUACAUUCAUUACAGCAGUAUCUGAGCGUAUGUUUAUGUUGUAACCUCCACUUCUACAACUGUUAAUUUUGCUUUGCUGUAUAACCCCCUGCGCUGCCUAUUGCGUGGUGCCACGGGCACCCUCCUGCAGGGACUGCUUGGGUCUGGGACAAUUCACGUAAAAUCCCUUUCUCUGGGCAAUAUAUUUCCCAUGCUCUCAGUGCAAGACUUGCUGAGGCUUCAAAACCAGGACACUGGAUGGAGAAGACUGCUGACCUAAACCAGGCUGACAACCCCUACCUUGUAUAGCCCCAACAAACUAAACCACCUCAUGUCAUAUUUCAAAGUCCUCUGAAACAGAGAUCCAGCCACCUCAUUUCACUACGGCAAGAAAAUUCUGUGGCAGGGAUCCAGUAGCUGCUGUCAUCAAAAUGCUGACAGAAACUGAGGUUAAGGGUACUAAAUGUUUCGCUGUUAACAGAGCCAAUGCAAUGUGGUUUUUUGAAGAUGGCGAAAGGAGGACUGAGGACUGCUGGUGAUGGUGCUGAGAUACAUGCAAAGCUGUGAAAAUAACUUUGAAUAAGAUUUUAGAAGUCUUCUAACUAAAUAAAAUACAUGUGUAUUUCAAUCUAAUGUUUUGUUCUAGCUUUAAUGAUUUUUUUUUUCAUUGAAAAUAUUAGCCAAUAGAGUGAAAAAAACUAAUUUGGGGAAAAAAUGUCAAAAGGCUUGAUUUUGAAAAGUUCAAAACAGAACUUGUUGUGCCUUGGCAUUUUCCUCCUACAUUUUCUAGUAAAUAAACUGUUUAUCCAAAA
Long non-coding RNA from Tyto alba (common barn owl), 3307 nucleotides. RefSeq lists it as uncharacterized. The record is from RefSeq and is a predicted model, not a curated record. The transcript is spliced from 2 exons. Lineage: Eukaryota; Metazoa; Chordata; Aves; Strigiformes; Tytonidae.